RNAcentral lists this ribosomal RNA (325 nucleotides) under Staphylococcus aureus. Its description in RNAcentral is "bacterial SSU rRNA". It matches the Rfam family "Bacterial small subunit ribosomal RNA", at positions 1 to 315 of the family's 1533-position model. The record is from RNAcentral. Lineage: Bacteria; Bacillati; Bacillota; Bacilli; Caryophanales; Staphylococcaceae.
UUUAUGGAGAGUUUGAUCCUGGCUCAGGAUGAACGCUGGCGGCGUGCCUAAUACAUGCAAGUCGAGCGAACGGACGAGAAGCUUGCUUCUCUGAUGUUAGCGGCGGACGGGUGAGUAACACGUGGAUAACCUACCUAUAAGACUGGGAUAACUUCGGGAAACCGGAGCUAAUACCGGAUAAUAUUUUGAACCGCAUGGUUCAAAAGUGAAAGACGGUCUUGCUGUCACUUAUAGAUGGAUCCGCGCUGCAUUAGCUAGUUGGUAAGGUAACGGCUUACCAAGGCAACGAUGCAUAGCCGACCUGAGAGGGUGAUCGGCCACACUG